Mangifera indica (mango) is the source of this 724-nucleotide long non-coding RNA. RefSeq lists it as uncharacterized. The record is from RefSeq and is a predicted model, not a curated record. Lineage: Eukaryota; Viridiplantae; Streptophyta; Magnoliopsida; Sapindales; Anacardiaceae. The transcript is spliced from 3 exons.
AUAUAUAAAAAAAAGUAGGGGUGGGCAAAAAAAUUGGGUGGAGCCAAAACCUUAGGGUACUUGGUGUUGCGAUUCCAAUUUCUACUCAAAAUUAGAAUCCCUAGGUUAGGUUUUGAUUCUGAAACACAAUUUAGGUAGGCUUUGGUAUUACCAUUAUAAGGUCUCAAAAGCUACUGAGAUUUAUGGACUUUGACACAUUAUAGAGAAUCAAUUCGUGUAUCUAUGAGUACAAAACAUGUCAAAUAGAGGAUUAACAUUUUACCGAAAUGCAUAACCCUCCCCUGGGGUUUUCAAUGUGUGAGAUUAUACCAGGAGGCAGCUUGGGUAAUAAAAUGUUAAGUUUUUAAAAUGGGGAGUUUAGGUUUAAGUCUCUUAAACAUACCCAGGUGAGUGACACAGAAAGAAUGCCAUCGAUAACUUUUUUUUUUUGGGAGGAAAGUCCAUUAGCAAAUCGAGGUGCAAGUUACUCUUCUUGUAAUUAGUUGUUUUUCAAGAAGAUGUGUUACGGGUUAAAGCUUACCAUAUUUUUGAAGUACAAAACAAGCAUAACUUCAAAGAUUUUUUGGCUUUCUCUUUGAAUGGGUGCCACAUAAAGAUUUGAGAUCUUUUGUAAUGUCUUGUGACUGACUUUUUAGCUGAAAUAUUUUGUACACUUUGCAUGACGCAAUUGUCAUGUUAUUCCACUUCUCCAUAAAAUUUGAUUGGAUGUGUCUUAUUUAUAUCA